RNAcentral lists this unclassified non-coding RNA (329 nucleotides) under soil metagenome. RNAcentral's name for it is "partial contains 5.8S ribosomal RNA, internal transcribed spacer 2, and large subunit ribosomal RNA". The stretch from base 1 to 120 matches the Rfam family "5.8S ribosomal RNA", at positions 35 to 154 of the family's 154-position model. The record is from RNAcentral.
GAUGAAGAACGCAGCGAAAUGCGAUAAGUAAUGUGAAUUGCAGAAUUCAGUGAAUCAUCGAAUCUUUGAAUGCACAUUGCGCCCCCUGGCAUUCCGGGGGGCAUGCCUGUUCGAGCGUCAUUACAACCCUCAAGCUCUGCUUGGUAUUGGGCUCUGCUGGGACCGGCAGGCCUUAAAAUCAGUGGCGGCGCCACUCGGCUUCAAGCGUAGUAAUUCUUCUCGCUUCGGAGACCCGGGUGCGUGCUAGCCAGCAACCCCCAACUUUCUUAGGUUGACCUCGGAUCAGGUAGGGAUACCCGCUGAACUUAAGCAUAUCAAUAAGCGGAGGA